Molecule: ribosomal RNA, 254 nt
Filed under: uncultured bacterium
Lineage: Bacteria
Description: partial 16S ribosomal RNA
Rfam family: Bacterial small subunit ribosomal RNA
Source: RNAcentral
UACGGAGGCGGCAAGCGUUGUUCGGAAUUACUGGGCGUAAAGGGCGCGCAGGCGGCUGCUCAAGUCAGGCGUGAAAGGCCUGGGCUCAACCCGGGAAUUGCGCUUGAGACUGGGCUGGCUUGAGUGCGGGAGAGGAUGGUGGAAUUCCCAGUGUAGAGGUGAAAUUCGUAGAUAUUGGGAAGAACACCGGUGGCGAAGGCGGCCAUCUGGACCGCAACUGACGCUGAGGCGCGAAAGCGUGGGGAGCAAACAGG